AUAAGGAACAAGUGAGAAGGGGGCCCCUAAUUUUGUGAAAAACCAGGGAGAGAAUACAGCACAUGAUUUAUUCCCAUCACUCUGUAGCUGAGGCUCACUCACACCAACUGCGCAAUCGCAGGCCAGCCAUUUACCCAGGCUCAGAGCCCGGUCCAGACCCAGGCUGGGCUGGGGUUUCAUCUCGCGAGCUCCGAUGGCACCAGAGGGUCAGCCUAGCUCAGGGCCAGCUGGUCCUUCUUCUUCUGCAAGACCUGCUCCUCCCACCGCGCCUGGUCCAAGGGCGUUGAGCACCACAGGCCCGUACUUCUCUGGAGGAGCCUCUGGAGCGCAGCAGGUACAAGGCAUUACCAUUUCAAAAAGGACUUGUUUAAUACAUUGGAAUUUUAAACUGCAAUUCCUGAAGAUGCUGUUAAUCCUGUUCCAAACUUUGAUCUACUGUUGUGAUAUCUUUUGGAUCCUGAUUUCUCUGUUUUACUUUUGAACUUUUCAAAAAGGAGGCCAACCCCCGUGAGCCACAGACGGACAUGACAACACGUUGGUGCUUAUACUUCUGAUGCACGGGCACUAUUCAGUGAUAUUGUGGCUCUUUGACAGAAGUGAGUCG
This 604-nucleotide long non-coding RNA is filed under the name Capra hircus (goat). Its description in RNAcentral is "lncRNA (ENSCHIG00000004271.1)". Lineage: Eukaryota; Metazoa; Chordata; Mammalia; Artiodactyla; Bovidae. The record is from RNAcentral.